GAGUGUAUAGCUUAGUAGGUCAAAGCAAUAAACUUUUAAUUUAAAGAUUUUAGGUUCGAGUCCUGAUACACUCA
RNAcentral lists this transfer RNA (74 nucleotides) under Mimica arnoldii. RNAcentral describes it as "tRNA-Lys". It matches the Rfam family "tRNA". Rfam says of the family: Transfer RNA (tRNA) molecules are approximately 80 nucleotides in length. Their secondary structure includes four short double-helical elements and three loops (D, anti-codon, and T loops). The record is from RNAcentral. Lineage: Eukaryota; Rhodophyta; Florideophyceae; Gigartinales; Solieriaceae.